UCGUGCAUAUAAGCAAGCCUUCACCUGUCAUGAGGCUGCUUGCGUCGUGACGUCAACCAAAUCUGCUUCCUUUGUUUGCACUGUUCUGGGUAAGCGUGGCUGUUUUAUCGUUUGUCGGCUUUAAUAAUGGCUAUUAAUGCUAAUUGGUUUAUCUGCUUAGUCUCCUUUGCUGCACCUCCAAUAUCUGGACUGAUCUGUCCAUUCAUUUGUUUGCUGACAGGAAGUUGCACUGCAUCUAGGCGGAAUUGGGGAUCUGAUUAUUUGGCAGUGCAGUCAUUUAUCAGUUCACAGGUAAGCGGCUGCUGCAAGUUAUGUUUUUGUUAGCAGUUGUAUUAAUAAUUUGCUCUAUUCUUUUUAGCCUUCUGAUGACUCAUCAGCAUUGUACCUGGAGUGACACUCGCUGCUGUUUUGCCUACCUAUAAAUUGUUUU
Molecule: long non-coding RNA, 430 nt
Organism: Poecilia latipinna (sailfin molly)
Lineage: Eukaryota; Metazoa; Chordata; Actinopteri; Cyprinodontiformes; Poeciliidae
Exons: 2
Source: RefSeq, a predicted model, not a curated record